AUGAAUAGUUCGCCAGGGGGGAUUUGAUCUUCAGGUAAGGUGCGUAUUGUAUCGGAUAAAAGGCUGCGAAUAGGCCUCCUCUCUUUCCAGCGCUCUCCUCUACCCCUAACAUUUUGUUCCCUUCCCUCUUCGCUAACCUCUAUUCCGUUGAAUGCUAUUCAGUCUGGGAUCGAGCCCAACUAUUAUAAUUAUAGUUAUAGCUUUCUUCCAACAGCAAAUUCAUUCGCAAGAACCGAUGUCGUACUGCUUCAGUGGAAUGCUCCGUAA
This 267-nucleotide long non-coding RNA is filed under the name Vicia faba (fava bean). The record is from RNAcentral. Lineage: Eukaryota; Viridiplantae; Streptophyta; Magnoliopsida; Fabales; Fabaceae.